Molecule: long non-coding RNA, 1021 nt
Organism: Hirundo rustica (Barn swallow)
Lineage: Eukaryota; Metazoa; Chordata; Aves; Passeriformes; Hirundinidae
Exons: 4
Source: RefSeq, a predicted model, not a curated record
UGUGCGUGUCUUUAGCAGUGAAAUUAUUUGCUCCCCAUUGUUUUAAAAUCUGUGACAGAAUUACUUUGGCAGCAAGGCAGAUCUACAGUGCUUGUUUUGGUCUCUUUCAGCUCUGUAUCUCACCAACUAUAUUGUGUUAUAUAGGAAACUGGUAUAAGAGACUGCAUUUCAGGAUGCUGAGACCCAGAGGAAAUUCAGACCUUAUUUCUAUUAUGAAUGUACAUAAAAAGUACUGACCAGGAAAGAGUAUAGACACAUGGGUGAUGUGUAACACUCCUGGAUGAUCACUCUGCACUAAGCAAAGAGGAGGGCCCAUGAAGCAGAAGCCUGGAGCUCAGAGAUCAUGGACUCAAACCCCAACACUGCAAAUAAAGAAUUCCUGCUAGGAGGGGAAUAACUGGCUGGUGUAACAGUUGCUGGCUGAAGGAAUUGGAGAAUUGAGUAGCUGCUGCCAUGAUUUAGCACUGCCAGAGUCUUUGGUGCAGAUUUUAUCAUUUGGAUGACCCAGAUGUAAGGAAUUAAAGUGUGGCUGGGAGUUCUGUGCACACCCUGAAGUGCUAUGAAUGCAACACUGAAUGCAGAGUGUCAUUUAUGAUUACGAUUUGGUUGAAACAUUCCCUAUUCCCAUGGGAGUUAGAGCAGGCAGGGACGGGUAAAACUAUUACUCAGUCAUGCCAGAAGUCUUGUUAUGAUUUUCUACGAUUUCAGUUCUGUUUUCUUUUUUCCUGUAGUUAGGUAUUUUCCAAAUGCUUAUCUGUCUUAUGUGGCCAUCAGGUUCACAGAGGCCACUGGGUAGGGCUGGGGUCAGACCAGCCUUUUGCUCACUGCUGCUGCCCACAUCUACCAACAACAGCGUGCUAUCCCCACAAGGCCCGCAAUGUCUGUCCUCUCAGCAGGACAAGGGCAUUUCCCCCCCUCUUCUUUUCUAAAAUAUAGUGUUCAGUUCACUUGCCAGGAAUGCAGAGGACAUUUCCUCCCAUCCCCACAGAGGUAUUUUACAAGUGCUGCUCUUUAUGACCAC